GUGGAAACCGCAUUGCAGCAGAGUGAAGGACCCGACCUGUUCAGCCUAGUUUUCUAGGUGUACUCAGGGCGGUGCUCCGCCAGCCGUGAGCUCCUGGUGGCCAAUUUUUGCGCUGCUAGGGGUGGAGGGCUCCCUUUCGAGGUUGAGGACGUGCUGGAUAAUGCUGCGAUUCGACCCGUCUUGAAACACGGACCAAGGAGUGUAGCAUAUCUGCGAGUCAAAGGGUUUUGAAACCUGAGGGCGCAGUGAAAGCGACUGUAAAACACGCAGUUUGCGGCGGCAUACGAUCUUUGAUCGUAGGUCCGACCUAGAGCAGGUAUGCUGCGACCCGAAAGAUGGUGAACUAUACUUGAGUAGGGUGAAGCCAGGAGAAAUUCUGGUGGAAGCUCGUAGCGGUGCUGACGUGCAAAUCGCUCGUCAAACUUGAGUAUAGGGGCGAAAGACUAAUCGAACCAUCUGGUAGCUGGUUUCCUCCGAAGUUUCUCUCA
Molecule: ribosomal RNA, 488 nt
Filed under: Osmundea osmunda
Lineage: Eukaryota; Rhodophyta; Florideophyceae; Ceramiales; Rhodomelaceae
Description: eukaryotic LSU rRNA
Rfam family: Eukaryotic large subunit ribosomal RNA
Source: RNAcentral